Molecule: long non-coding RNA, 558 nt
Organism: Oryzias latipes (Japanese medaka)
Lineage: Eukaryota; Metazoa; Chordata; Actinopteri; Beloniformes; Adrianichthyidae
Source: RefSeq, a predicted model, not a curated record
CAGCCAACGGGGCGCCAAGAGCCCCCACACAAUGAUGCCUCUUGUGUUGGGUUUCCGGCCGACUGACUGCACCUGGGAAAGACCGGCUUCAUCUUCCUCUUUGUGAAGGUGCAAAGCCAGAAGUCAUCCUUCCAGCCUGUUGAUUGGCGUCUUACCAGACAUGGUUAGAUGUAAUUAUCCGAGUCUAAUACUGUCUGGUAAUGCCGUCCAUUAAACGGCAUUGCCUUCCGCUCUUCUCCCUUCCCUUCCUCUUGUUGUCGCGCAUCAGACUCGGUUAAUGAGCAAACGCAGAGCGGCGGGGCGGCACUUUCCACAGACGUGGACGAGCUGCAGGAAGAAUAAAUCCUGAAUCUGCAGGAGGGUUUUUCCUCACCUUUUUUUUAGCAUCAGGUCCUUUCAGCUCCUCUGCUGGGACCAAACCGGAGCAUCUAUGUCAACAUCUGUUUGAUAAACUUCUGCUUCUGUGAAAUGUUGAAGACUCUACAGUCUGAAAACACUGUUUGUACUGCACUAAAAAUGUAAGGCAUGAAAAAUAAAACAGUUUCAGUGGAAAAUGUU